RNAcentral lists this ribosomal RNA (255 nucleotides) under uncultured bacterium. RNAcentral describes it as "partial 16S ribosomal RNA". It matches the Rfam family "Bacterial small subunit ribosomal RNA", at positions 524 to 776 of the family's 1533-position model. The record is from RNAcentral.
UACGUAGGGUGCAAGCGUUGUCCGGAAUUAUUGGGCGUAAAGAGCUCGUAGGCGGUUCGUCGCGUCGGCCGUGAAAACCUAGCAGCUUAACUGUGGGCUUGCGGUCGAUACGGGCAUCACUGGAGUUCGGCAGGGGAGACUGGAUUUCCUGGUGUAGCGGUGAAAUGCGCAGAUAUCAGGAGGAACACCGGUGGCGAAGGCGGGUCUCUGGGCCGAUACUGACGCUGAGGAGCGAAAGCGUGGGGAGCGAACAGG